GAGUUUGAUCUUGGCUCAGAGCGAACGCUGGCGGCAGGCUUAACACAUGCAAGUCGAGCGCCGUAGCAAUACGGAGCGGCAGACGGGUGAGUAACACGUGGGAACGUGCCUUUUGGUUCGGAAUAACUCAGGGAAACUUGAGCUAAUACCGGAUAAGCCCUUCGGGGAAGAUUUAUCGCCGAAAGAUCGGCCCGCGUAAGAUUAGCUUGUUGGUGAGGUAACGGCUCACCAAGGCUACGAUCUUUAGCUGGUCUGAGAGGAUGAUCAGCCACAUUGGGACUGAGACACGGCCCAAACUCCUACGGGAGGCAGCAGUGGGGAAUAUUGGACAAUGGGCGCAAGCCUGAUCCAGCCAUGCCGCGUGAGUGAUGAAGGCCUUAGGGUUGUAAAGCUCUUUUAGCAGGGACGAUAAUGACGGUACCUGCAGAAAAAGCCCCGGCCAACUUCGUGACAGCAGCCGCCGCCGUAAC
This 470-nucleotide ribosomal RNA is filed under the name uncultured Alphaproteobacteria bacterium. RNAcentral's name for it is "bacterial SSU rRNA". It matches the Rfam family "Bacterial small subunit ribosomal RNA", at positions 9 to 524 of the family's 1533-position model. Lineage: Bacteria; Pseudomonadati; Pseudomonadota; Alphaproteobacteria. The record is from RNAcentral.